GUAGGUGGCAAGCGUUGUCCGGGAAUUAUUGGGGCGUAAAGCGCGCGCAGGCGGUUCUUUAAGUCUGAUGUGAAAGCCCACGGGCUCAACCGUGGAGGGUCAUUGGAAACUGGAGAGCUUGAGUACAGAAGAGGAAAGCGGAAUUCCACGUGUAGCGGUGAAAUGCGUAGAGAUGUGGAGGAACACCAGUGGCGAAGGCGGCUUUCUGGUCUGUAACUGACGCUGAGGCGCGAAAGCGUGGGGAGCAAACAGGAUUAGAUACCCUGGUAGUCCACGCCGUAAACGAUGAGUGCUAAGUGUUAGGGGGUUUCCGCCCCUUAGUGCUGCAGCUAACGCAUUAAGCACUCCGCCUGGGGAGUACGGCCGCAAAGGCUG
Molecule: ribosomal RNA, 375 nt
Filed under: uncultured organism
Description: partial 16S ribosomal RNA
Rfam family: Bacterial small subunit ribosomal RNA
Source: RNAcentral